RNAcentral lists this unclassified non-coding RNA (373 nucleotides) under soil metagenome. Its description in RNAcentral is "partial contains 5.8S ribosomal RNA, internal transcribed spacer 2, and large subunit ribosomal RNA". The stretch from base 1 to 121 matches the Rfam family "5.8S ribosomal RNA", at positions 35 to 154 of the family's 154-position model. The record is from RNAcentral.
GAUGAAGAACGCAGCGAAAUGCGAUAAGUAAUGCGAAUUGCAGAAUUCCAGUGAGUCAUCGAAUCUUUGAACGCACAUUGUGCCCUUUGGUAUUCCGAAGGGCAUGCCUGUUCGAGCGUCAUUAUCACCCCUCAAGCCCUCGGCUUGGUGUUGGACGGUUUGGUGGAGGCCCCCUCGGGGGCUCCUGCCCCUCCCAAAGACAAUGACGGCGGCCUCGUUGGACCCCCGGUACACUGAGUUCUUCACGGGACACGUAUCGGACACAUGGGUUUACGGGACACGGUCUGCCUCCCCUCAGGGAGAAUCUUUCUAAGGUUGACCUCGGAUCAGGUAGGGAUACCCGCUGAACUUAAGCAUAUCAAUAAGCGGAGGA